This is a non-coding RNA of Podarcis lilfordi (Lilford's wall lizard), 71 nucleotides long. The record is from the annotation of a GenBank genome assembly. NCBI's taxonomy places the organism in Eukaryota, Metazoa, Chordata, Lepidosauria, Squamata, Lacertidae.
GCCCGGAUAGCUCAGUUGGUAGAACAUGAGACAUAAUCUCAGGGUUCUGGGUUCAUGUUCCAUGUCGGGCA